Molecule: transfer RNA, 69 nt
Filed under: Rattus norvegicus (Norway rat)
Lineage: Eukaryota; Metazoa; Chordata; Mammalia; Rodentia; Muridae
Rfam family: tRNA
About the family: Transfer RNA (tRNA) molecules are approximately 80 nucleotides in length.
Source: Rfam by way of RNAcentral
GGGGAUUUAGCUCAGAGGUAGAGCACUUGCUUAGCAAGCACAAGGCCCUGGGUUCGGUCCCCAGCUCCG